UACGGAGGGUGCAAACGUUGCUCGGAAUCAUUGGGCGUAAAGCGCACGUAGGCGGCGCGUUAAGUCGGGUGUGAAAGCCCUCGGCUCAACCGAGGAAGUGCAUUCGAAACUGGCGCGCUUGAGUAUGGAAGAGGGUCUCGGAAUUCCCGGUGUAGAGGUGAAAUUCGUAGAUAUCGGGAGGAACACCAGUGGCGAAGGCGGAGACCUGGGCCAAUACUGACGCUGAGGUGCGAAAGCGUGGGGAGCAAAC
Molecule: ribosomal RNA, 250 nt
Filed under: uncultured bacterium
Lineage: Bacteria
Description: partial 16S ribosomal RNA
Rfam family: Bacterial small subunit ribosomal RNA
Source: RNAcentral